RNAcentral lists this long non-coding RNA (1295 nucleotides) under Nicotiana benthamiana. RNAcentral describes it as "long non-coding RNA (NBEN_LNC018641)". The record is from RNAcentral. Lineage: Eukaryota; Viridiplantae; Streptophyta; Magnoliopsida; Solanales; Solanaceae.
GCUAUUCCUUAAGAAAAAUCUAGCUUUCAGCUUCUACUCUUUUGCCUGGCUCCUUCUCUUUCUAUUGAGCCUUCACUAUUUUACUGUCUUCUUGAGAAAUAACACCACAAGUUCCUAUAUUCUGUUUGAGUUUGCUCGCUUCCAUCGUUACUUGGCAUCUGUAGGUGAAAAUUUCUUUUCAAACUUCUAAAGUUUCCUCUUUCUUGGUGACAUCUGUAGUUGAAAAUCUCUUUACAAACUUCUAAAUUUCUCGAUUUCGGUUUCAUAUUAUCUCAGUAUGUGCUUUAUAGUUCUGAAAGUUUCUAUUGUCUAGAUCUUUUUGUACAUUGGGAUCUAUACUUGAUGAAUUCUUUUCAAUAUGCCUAAAUUUAAUCAAUCGUAGUUCUAUGUUGUCUCUGGUAUGUGCAAUAUAGUUGUGGUGAGUUUUCCUAUAAUUCUUGCUUCUUCUUUUCUUAUAUGCACAUUGUCGCUAAUGCUAUUUUUAGUGGGCAUCAGGUAGUUCCCCUGUUCGUUGGAUAUUUUCUUGCUGGAGUUUCACAUGCAUGGCUGUAAGUAUAUUAAAUUUGCACACUAAUGCACUGACGAUGCUUGAUAAUAUGCCUAAAUCAACAGCUUCUUUUAUUUUUUUCAUUUGCCCCCUUCCUCUGUCCUCGUAAUUAAUUUUUUAUGGAAAUUUGAUCAAUCUUCUUACCAGCGCUACAACUUCCAGUCCUUUAAGAUAAAAUUUCUGUAAAAUUAUGUCCAAAACGGCUGGUAGUUAUAGGCUUAUAGCUUUAACUUUAUUAAUGCAUAACAUAUGUAGGAAGAAUAUUUUUGAACCUUGCAUAUCCUUCAUCAGAAAGAGAAUGUGAAAUUGCUAAGAGAAAAUUAGAUAUUUUUAACGAAUGGAGAGACUCACUUGGAGAAUGUGUUAUCUUAUUUGAAAUUGCCAGGAGAAAAUGUGAAAUGUACGCUUUUGUUAUCUAAUGUAGCUGGGUAGCUGCCAGUUACAAAGUUUAAAGCUAUACAAGAGUAGACUAGGAUUUAAAAAAGGCGCUGUUUAGUAAUUUUAUAGUUUUUUCAGCGUCUAGCUAAGAUGAAUCCUUGAAUAUUGAGGACCUUAAUGGGCCAUAUCGAAAUAUCUUGGAGAAGGUUGUAGAACAGUAGAAGGAGGAGAAGUGUUUUGCUUAGAACAAUCCUAACUAUUCAUUAUUGUCCGCUAUAUGUGUCUCUUUGUAGAAUGGAGGUAAGGUUAAUAUGGGUUUGGUAAAGCUCAAGAAGUGCUUAUCAUGACUAGGAGGAAUAACCCGUAUAAA